This 507-nucleotide ribosomal RNA is filed under the name uncultured Glomeromycotina. RNAcentral's name for it is "partial small subunit ribosomal RNA". It matches the Rfam family "Eukaryotic small subunit ribosomal RNA", at positions 591 to 1092 of the family's 1831-position model. Lineage: Eukaryota; Fungi; Glomeromycota. The record is from RNAcentral.
CCAAUAGCGUAUAUUAAAGUUGUUGCAGUUAAAAAGCUCGUAGUUGAAUUUCGGGAUUGGCGCAUCGGUCGUGCCUCACGGGGUAUGAACUGGUGCAGUCAAUUUCUCACCUUCUGGAGAACCGCGAUGUCCUUAAUUGGAUGCCGCGGGGAACCAGGACCUUUAAUUUGAAAAAAUUAGAGUGUUUAAAGCAGGCAUUUUUGCUUGAAUACAUUAGCAUGGAAUAAUAAAAUAGGACGGCAUGGUUCUAUUUUGUUGGUUUCUAGGACCACCGUAAUGAUUAAUAGGGAUAGUUGGGGGCAUUAGUAUUCAAUUGUCAGAGGUGAAAUUCUUGGAUUUAUUGAAGACUAACUACUGCGAAAGCAUUUGCCAAGGAUGUUUUCAUUAAUCAAGAACGAAAGUUAGGGGAUCGAAGACGAUCAGAUACCGUCGUAGUCUUAACCAUAAACUAUGCCGACUAGGAAUCAGACGAUGUUAAUUUUUUAAUGACUCGUUUGGCACCUUACG